GGGGUUGUAGCUCAGUGGCAGAGCCCUUGCCUUGCAGGCAUGAGGCGCUGAAUUCGAUCCUCAGCACCA
Ictidomys tridecemlineatus (thirteen-lined ground squirrel) is the source of this 69-nucleotide non-coding RNA. The record is from Rfam. Lineage: Eukaryota; Metazoa; Chordata; Mammalia; Rodentia; Sciuridae.